This 132-nucleotide microRNA precursor is filed under the name Pelobates cultripes (western spadefoot toad). The record is from RNAcentral. Lineage: Eukaryota; Metazoa; Chordata; Amphibia; Anura; Pelobatidae.
ACACUGCGCCCUUCACACAUACAAUACGUCCAAAUAAAUAUAUAUAUAUAUAUAUAUAUAUAUAUAUAUGUACAUAUAUAUAUAUAUAUAUGUAUGUGUUUGGACUUAUUGUAUGUGUGAAGGGCGCAGUGU